RNAcentral lists this ribosomal RNA (440 nucleotides) under uncultured bacterium. Its description in RNAcentral is "partial 16S ribosomal RNA". It matches the Rfam family "Bacterial small subunit ribosomal RNA", at positions 338 to 795 of the family's 1533-position model. The record is from RNAcentral.
CCUACGGGUGGCUGCAGUGGGGAAUAUUGCGCAAUGGAGGGAACUCUGAUGCAGCGACGCCGCGUGAGUGAAGAAGUAAUUCGUUAUGUAAAGCUCUAUCAGCAGGGAAGAAAGUGACGGUACCUGAAAGAGAAGCUCCGGCUAAAUACGUGCCAGCAGCCGCGGUAAUACGUAUGGAGCAAGCGUUAUCCGGAUUUACUGGGUGUAAAGGGAGAGUAGGUGGCAGAGCAAGUCCGAAGUCAAAACCCAAAGCUCAACUAUGGGAAUGCUUGAGAAACUGUGCAGCUAGAGUGCAGGAGAGGAUAGUGGAAUUCUUAGUGUAGCGGUGAAAUGCGUAGAUAUUAGGAGGAAUACCAGUGGCGAAGGCGGCUUGCUGGACUGUAACUGACACUGAGGUUCGAAAGCGUGGGGAGCAAACAGGAUUAGAUACCCGGGUAGUC